Molecule: long non-coding RNA, 1245 nt
Filed under: Hordeum vulgare
Lineage: Eukaryota; Viridiplantae; Streptophyta; Magnoliopsida; Poales; Poaceae
Description: long non-coding RNA (HVUL_LNC003563)
Source: RNAcentral
UGCCAUCGAGCAGGCCAUGGUGACGGCCAGAUCCACGCGUGCUCAUCAAGGUUCGACCUUGGUAAGUGCCAACCCCAUCCCCGUAUCGGCGCCGCUGGUUUCAGGUUCAGAAAAUUUUGUGUUCUCUAUUCGAUUUAGAUUCCCCUGCUUGAUUCAGGUUCAGCCCCGUCCCCGCACCAUGGAGCUCUGAUCCCACACCUGCCGCACCUCGGCAGAAUCCCCGGAGGACGACCGCCGCUCCUCCUUAACAUCGCUCCUCCUUCAUGUCCAAGUGUCCAAGUGUUGUGCGGGUCUGCAAGUCCUCCUCGUUUCCAAGUCUGAUUUUUUUAUCUUUUUGGUCUGAUUAUUAUAUGGUCUGAUUUAUUUAUCUCUGAAAUUUUGAUGCAUGAAAUACUGUAAGUUUGUAGCCUUGAAACUGUCUUGCAUUUGGUUCGAUCGAAGGAUUAUGAUAAAUUUGUUUGUCUGCCUGCAUUUCUGAUAAUGUUACUUCUUUGUGCAGUUUGAGAAAGCUUAGAUGAGCUUGUGUCUGCUAUUGAAUACAGAUUAGAAACAACAAACUCUGUAGUUUAUGAGAGCUGAGAAAGAACUCUGUCGACACUGCUAGAUUCAGUUAAACUCUGUAGGCUACAUUCAGUUUCUUUACAACAUAAAAAUGCUUUAGACUGCUAGAUUCAGUAUAGUGAUAAUCUAAGCUUCACACUGCAUAAAAUGCUUCUUUUGCUGUGAUAAAAUGCUUGUUUUGACAUAUAUACUCUGAAUAUUUUUGCCUCUCCAUUGAAACACUCACAAAACUGAUUGCCGCCGUCGGGUCGGGUUCGUGGCAGUCUGAUCCCAGUGAUACUGAACACUGAACCUUUAUUCCAGUGAAACCACAAUGACAAUGUUAGUACAGUGCAUAAAAACUGAACCUUUAAUCCCAGUUCAGUAGUGUGAGCACUAUAUCAACUGUUAGUUUUUGAGAUGACUUGCCCAUGCCCAUGCCUUUGUUUUGUUAACUUAAUUUUAGUUAAUUAACAAAUGUUUCAAUACUUUCCUUGUUUUAAGUUACUGCUAUGGAAGUAACUUAACUUGGCCAUGCCCAUAUCAUUUCAGUUAAUCAUGCAUGCCUAGUCGAUGGCAGCUGCUGCGGAAGUCGACCCCGACGACGACGGCUCCUCCUCAACAUCCUAGGCUCCUCCUCCAUGUCCAAAUGCCUAAGUACCCAAGUGCUCAUUUGCCUCGUGCCCAAGUGCUCUAAAAGUAUGC